RNAcentral lists this long non-coding RNA (3468 nucleotides) under Canis lupus familiaris (dog). Its description in RNAcentral is "lncRNA (ENSCAFG00845020177.1)". The record is from RNAcentral. Lineage: Eukaryota; Metazoa; Chordata; Mammalia; Carnivora; Canidae.
AUGAAGUGCCUCCAACCCUCAAAAAAUGAACAGGGAAAAAAAUUAUGUUUUUUCCUUAAUUUUGUCACCAUAAAAUCAUCUUCUUGCUCUGAUACACCUGACAUUUCUUGCUUGAUUGUGGAACUACAGGAGGUGAUAUUGGAGGAAAGAAGGUCUCUCUGGGAGGCAGAAGGUGAUGCUGGAAAAGCAGGCCAAUUUAGAGCUUUAUGGAAAACAAGACUGAGGGAUGACUGCUGGCUUCCUUGUCUCCUCUGCAGAUUCCUGAAGUUACGUCUUCUAAAUACUGUAGGUUUUUAAUUCUCCUUGGAUUAUUUAAUCACGAGUGUCUUGGUCCUGUUUGUGGAUUCAUACGAAGCAUCUCAUAAAGGUGAAGGAAGGAUAAGGACCCAGAGGCCCUUAGAAUGGAGGCUAUGUUACCAUCUUGGCUUGAAGUAUGGAAACAUCCCUGUGAUUACUGUAGCCCUGAAGUUAAAAGGGAAUUUUCGGAAAGUUUUAAACCAUAGGACUAUCUCCAGGGGCUCAGAUAUUUUAUUAUUAUUAUUCCUUCAUUAUUACUUUAGAAGGAAUGAAAUCAAUUUGGAAAUUGAUUUGAUUCAUACAGUAAGAAAAGUAUUAGUAGGAGAAAGAAUUUUUAAAAAUGAAGAAAGAAACAUGCAUUGAUUUGGGAGGAGUGAAUUUUAUUUCAUGCAAAGGUUAAAUCACAAAGGAAAAACUAAGAAGAUAUCCAAAACCAAAAACAUUUCCUGUAAUUGCUUUUAAAAGUGGGACCAGGAGAAAGGAAUAUUUUAGUUGUGACUAUAUUAGGAAUGAUAGCAAUGAUAACUGUGGCCCAAAAACAUGGAACAGAUGACAAGGGGCAAAACUCAGAAAGGAAGCAAAUGACUUCCUCAGAGAAAAAUCAUAUCUAGAUAUUAUGGGAAGUCCCUCUUAAAGCUAAAACCAGGGGCACCUGGUGGCUCAGUAGUUGAGCGUCUGCCUUUGGCUCAGGUCCUGAUCCUGGGGUCCUGGGAUCGAGUCCCACAUUGGGCUCCUUGUGAGGCACCUGCUUCUCCCUCUGCCUAUGUCUCUGUCUCUCUCUCCAUGUUUCUCAUGAAUAAAUAAAUACAAUCUUAAAAAAAAAAAAGAAAGCUAAAACCAGGGGUUUAAUGAAAGAAGCAAAUUGAGAACCAGAGCUACUUAGAGCAAAUUUGGACAAUUUGAGAGGGCAUCGGUGGGAGGAUCAGAAUCCAGUCCUGCUAGCACGAUUAGGUUGAGCCUGAAGAUGACAAGAUUAUUAAAAUGGGGCAGCAGGUUCAGUCUGUACCACUGGGAAACAUGCUCUUGGGACUUUUGAUUUAUGAGUCUGAGCCAGCAGUCUCAAGUUGGCUCUCUUUGUCCUACAAUUAGGCCCAGAAACAUAUUAUGUUCUGCUAAUACAGUUUUUAAAAAUAUUCAUUUUCAAAUGAGUAAUUAAAAAAAAAAACUGAAUAAAUCCCUGGACCCAGCACCUCACAGUGCAGCAGUCAGCUGGAGCUGAGCAAUGGAAGUCAUCCUUGGUGAGAAUUCUUACCUCUUUCCUCUGGUUAAUGUCUCCAUUUGCCCAGCUUCUCUCCUUUAUGUCACCCACUUGGCCUCUGCAGGCAUUUGGGCCUGUGACAUCUGUUAAAAAAGAAAAAGUUAUACUUAAAAUGAGACAAGCUAAAGGGAGCUGGCUGACACAUAAGAGCAUAGUCCAGACCUGGGCGAGAUAAUGGAGUGAGGGAGGGUGUCAUGGGGGUAAAGUUAGCCUCCCUCAGCCUUGUAAAAUUAGGCCAGCUUUGGGUAAAUAAGAGAUGAUCUUGGUAGACCCAGGAAGCAUUAGUUUCAUAGCUCUUAUUGGUAGAUUUUUUUUUUUUAUAAUUUUUAUUUAUUUAUGAUAGUCAUCAGAGAGAGAGAGACAGGCAGAGACAUAGGCAGAGGGAGAAGCAGGCUCCAUGCACCGGGAGCCUGAUGUGGGAUUCGAUCCUGGGUCUCCAGGAUCAUGCCCUGGGCCAAAGGCAGGCGCCAAACCACUGCGCCACCCAGGGAUCCCUCUUAUUGGUAGAUUAUCAUAAGAAUCCAUCCAUCCAUCCAUCCUCCAUCCAUCCAGAGCUGUGGGUAGAUUAUCACAAUCCAGAAUCCAGAGAUGUGUUGUUGAACAAAGAAAUUUAAAGAAAAAAGAAAUUUCAGGGAUUAUGGGUCAGGUGCUCAAAUCACUGUAGAUAAAUGGUUGAAUCAUGCCAGCUCUGUGGCUAUAGGGACUUGCCUGACCUGUGGCAAAGGAGACUAUCUAUACCUUCUAUAAAACUGUUCAAAUGAAAAACAGAUAAACUCUGGGGCUUGUCAAGACAAAACCUAUCAAAAACAUGCUUGCAGGACACUAGAAUUUCUGGUUUAUAGAGCUUGAAGGAAAUUUACGGGGAUGGCAUUGCCAGAAGAAGAUAGAACCAUAAGAGAAACGGUUUUAGUAUGAAGGACCCCACAACUGAAUAGUGUAAGUGGUAUUUUUGUUAUUUUUAUUGUUAUGUAAUAGAAUUUUAAAAAUUCAAUUAAGGUAUUUUAAUAGUUGUAACAAAGGGCCUUAACUGAAGUGGAGAACUGUUUAUUUCUUUAGGAAAGUAAGUAUAAUGUGGAAAGUGAGGACAUGGGAAUAUGAUGUAUUCAGAGAGUAAAAUGUUUGUAUGCUUUCCAAAUUCAUAUGUUGAUUUCCUAGCCUCUAUUAUUGGUAUUAUUAGGAGAUGAGGGAUUAUUAGGAGAUGGGGAUUUUGGGAGAGGCGAUCAGGUCAUGAGUGUGCAGCCCUCAUAAAAGAGAUUAGUGCCCUUAUAAAAGAGAUGCCAGAGAGCUCCUUUUUCCCUUCCACCAUGUGAGGACAUAGUGAGAAGACAGCCAUCUGUGACCCAGGAAGUGGGUUCUCAUCACCAGAUCUGCUGACACCUUGAGCUUACUGGCCUCCAGAAUUGUGACAAGUGAAUACUGUUUAAGCCACCCAGUCUAGGGGUAUUUUUUACUACAGCAGCCUGAAUGAACUAAGGCAAAAUAAACUUGCAUAAGAAUAAACACAAGUAUAAAGAUAGAAGAGAACAGAGGUGAUGGAGAAGAGUUAGAGAUCAGAAGGAAGCCCACCAAGAAUUGUGACCUGCGAAAACUUCCAAAGCUCAGGAUAUCCAAGAGACAUAAGAACAAGGAACAGCAAUGAGAACAACAAAAGGGAAACGGACUCAUAGCUAUAGAGAACAAACUGGUGGUGGCCAGAGAGGAGGGAUAAGGAGAUGAGGGAAAGGGAUUAAGAGGUCCUGACUUCCAGUACAAAAUAAGCAAGUCAUGGGGAUGAAAAGUACAGCAUAGAGAAUUUAGUCAAUAAUAUUAUAGUAAUUUUUUAUGGUGAUAGAUGGUGGACUACACUUAUCAUAGUGAGCAUUUCUUAAUGUAUACAAUUGUAGAAACACUAUGUUGUACACCUGAAACUAAUA